UGAAGUCUUUGUAGAUUUAUUGAAAAACUAGUGUAGUUCAUACUUUCAUAAAAUCAACUUUAAUUAAGAUGAAAACAUCAAUAACCUCUUUGUUUGUAUUGACCAUCUUGGUCUGUGUAGUUCGCGAUUCAGAAGGCAUCUCUGCUUGGGCUGGUACAUCUCUAAAUGCUCGAAGGAGCUUGGAAAAGCGUCUACAAAAUUGUCAAGUUGUAACUACACAUUGUGAAGAUUUGAGAGAGAAAGUGAAACAAGCCGAUAGCCAACUGAAGAAAAGGUGGCCGAAAAUACGAGCUCAACCAAUGAAAGAAAAUCAAUUCGACUGGAAUGUAUAGUUUAUCUAAACUUGAGAGCAAAAAAAAAGAUCACUUUAGUCAAACCAAACUUUGUGUUAUCUAUAAUGAAUGAUUAUUUAUUGAAAAAUCUAUAUCUAAUUUAAAAUGAAACGAAAUUUGGAACAGUA
Molecule: long non-coding RNA, 460 nt
Organism: Xenia sp. Carnegie-2017
Lineage: Eukaryota; Metazoa; Cnidaria; Anthozoa; Malacalcyonacea; Xeniidae
Exons: 2
Source: RefSeq, a predicted model, not a curated record